GGGUUGUGAGGUUAAGCGACUAAGCGUACACGGUGGAUGCCCUGGCAGUCAGAGGCGAUGAAGGACGUGCUAAUCUGCGAUAAGCGUCGGUAAGGUGAUAUGAACCGUUAUAACCGGCGAUUUCCGAAUGGGGAAACCCAGUGUGAUUCGUCACACUAUCAUUAACUGAAUCCAUAGGUUAAUGAGGCGAACCGGGGGAACUGAAACAUCUAAGUACCCCGAGGAAAAGAAAUCAACCGAGAUUCCCCCAGUAGCGGCGAGCGAACGGGGAGCAGCCCAGAGCCUGAAUCAGUGUGUGUGUUAGUGGAAGCGUCUGGAAAGGCGCGCGAUACAGGGUGACAGCCCCGUACACAAAAAUGCACAUACUGUGAGCUCGAUGAGUAGGGCGGGACACGUGGUAUCCUGUCUGAAUAUGGGGGACCAUCCUCCAAGGCUAAAUACUCCUGACUGACCGAUAGUGAACCAGUACCGUGAGGGAAAGGCGAAAAGAACCCCGGCGAGGGGAGUGAAAAAGAACCUGAAACCGUGUACGUACAAGCAGUGGGAGCACGCUUAGGCGUGUGACUGCGUACCUUUUGUAUAAUGGGUCAGCGACUUAUAUUCUGUAGCAAGGUUAACCGAAUAGGGGAGCCGAAGGGAAACCGAGUCUUAACUGGGCGUUAAGUUGCAGGGUAUAGACCCGAAACCCGGUGAUCUAGCCAUGGGCAGGUUGAAGGUUGGGUAACACUAACUGGAGGACCGAACCGACUAAUGUUGAAAAAUUAGCGGAUGACUUGUGGCUGGGGGUGAAAGGCCAAUCAAACCGGGAGAUAGCUGGUUCUCCCCGAAAGCUAUUUAGGUAGCGCCUCGUGAAUUCAUCUCCGGGGGUAGAGCACUGUUUCGGCAAGGGGGUCAUCCCGACUUACCAACCCGAUGCAAACUGCGAAUACCGGAGAAUGUUAUCACGGGAGACACACGGCGGGUGCUAACGUCCGUCGUGAAGAGGGAAACAACCCAGACCGCCAGCUAAGGUCCCAAAGUCAUGGUUAAGUGGGAAACGAUGUGGGAAGGCCCAGACAGCCAGGAUGUUGGCUUAGAAGCAGCCAUCAUUUAAAGAAAGCGUAAUAGCUCACUGGUCGAGUCGGCCUGCGCGGAAGAUGUAACGGGGCUAAACCAUGCACCGAAGCUGCGGCAGCGACGCUGAUGCGUUGUUGGGUAGGGGAGCGUUCUGUAAGCCUGUGAAGGUGUGCUGUGAGGCAUGCUGGAGGUAUCAGAAGUGCGAAUGCUGACAUAAGUAACGAUAAAGCGGGUGAAAAGCCCGCUCGCCGGAAGACCAAGGGUUCCUGUCCAACGUUAAUCGGGGCAGGGUGAGUCGACCCCUAAGGCGAGGCCGAAAGGCGUAGUCGAUGGGAAACAGGUUAAUAUUCCUGUACUUGGUGUUACUGCGAAGGGGGACGGAGAAGGCUAUGUUGGCCGGGCGACGGUUGUCCCGGUUUAAGCGUGUAGGCUGGUUUUCCAGGCAAAUCCGGAAAAUCAAGGCUGAGGCGUGAUGACGAGGCACUACGGUGCUGAAGCAACAAAUGCCCUGCUUCCAGGAAAAGCCUCUAAGCAUCAGGUAACAUCAAAUCGUACCCCAAACCGACACAGGUGGUCAGGUAGAGAAUACCAAGGCGCUUGAGAGAACUCGGGUGAAGGAACUAGGCAAAAUGGUGCCGUAACUUCGGGAGAAGGCACGCUGAUAUGUAGGUGAAGCGACUUGCUCGUGGAGCUGAAAUCAGUCGAAGAUACCAGCUGGCUGCAACUGUUUAUUAAAAACACAGCACUGUGCAAACACGAAAGUGGACGUAUACGGUGUGACGCCUGCCCGGUGCCGGAAGGUUAAUUGAUGGGGUCAGCGCAAGCGAAGCUCUUGAUCGAAGCCCCGGUAAACGGCGGCCGUAACUAUAACGGUCCUAAGGUAGCGAAAUUCCUUGUCGGGUAAGUUCCGACCUGCACGAAUGGCGUAAUGAUGGCCAGGCUGUCUCCACCCGAGACUCAGUGAAAUUGAACUCGCUGUGAAGAUGCAGUGUACCCGCGGCAAGACGGAAAGACCCCGUGAACCUUUACUAUAGCUUGACACUGAACAUUGAGCCUUGAUGUGUAGGAUAGGUGGGAGGCUUUGAAGUGUGGACGCCAGUCUGCAUGGAGCCGACCUUGAAAUACCACCCUUUAAUGUUUGAUGUUCUAACGUUGACCCGUAAUCCGGGUUGCGGACAGUGUCUGGUGGGUAGUUUGACUGGGGCGGUCUCCUCCUAAAGAGUAACGGAGGAGCACGAAGGUUGGCUAAUCCUGGUCGGACAUCAGGAGGUUAGUGCAAUGGCAUAAGCCAGCUUGACUGCGAGCGUGACGGCGCGAGCAGGUGCGAAAGCAGGUCAUAGUGAUCCGGUGGUUCUGAAUGGAAGGGCCAUCGCUCAACGGAUAAAAGGUACUCCGGGGAUAACAGGCUGAUACCGCCCAAGAGUUCAUAUCGACGGCGGUGUUUGGCACCUCGAUGUCGGCUCAUCACAUCCUGGGGCUGAAGUAGGUCCCAAGGGUAUGGCUGUUCGCCAUUUAAAGUGGUACGCGAGCUGGGUUUAGAACGUCGUGAGACAGUUCGGUCCCUAUCUGCCGUGGGCGCUGGAGAACUGAGGGGGGCUGCUCCUAGUACGAGAGGACCGGAGUGGACGCAUCACUGGUGUUCGGGUUGUCAUGCCAAUGGCACUGCCCGGUAGCUAAAUGCGGAAGAGAUAAGUGCUGAAAGCAUCUAAGCACGAAACUUGCCCCGAGAUGAGUUCUCCCUGACUCCUUGAGAGUCCUGAAGGAACGUUGAAGACGACGACGUUGAUAGGCCGGGUGUGUAAGCGCAGCGAUGCGUUGAGCUAACCGGUACUAAUGAACCGUGAGGCUUAACCUUACAACGCCGAAGCUGUU
This 2928-nucleotide ribosomal RNA is filed under the name Escherichia coli. RNAcentral describes it as "bacterial LSU rRNA". It matches the Rfam family "Bacterial large subunit ribosomal RNA". The record is from RNAcentral. Lineage: Bacteria; Pseudomonadati; Pseudomonadota; Gammaproteobacteria; Enterobacterales; Enterobacteriaceae.